GGGGAAUUGGCGGCCGCUAGACUGCGGUCGAGCGGACUUGAUAGAAGCUUGCUUCUAUCAAGUUAGCGGCGGACGGGUGAGUAACACGUGGGUAACCUGCCUGUAAAAUGGGGAUAACUCCGGGAAACCGGAGCUAAUACCGAAUAACACUUUCGCUCGCAUGAGCGGAUGUUAAAAGACGGUUUCGGCUGUCACUUACAGAUGGACCCGCGGCGCAUUAUCUAGUUGGUGAGGUAACGGCUCACCAAGGCGACGAUGCGUACCCGACCUGAGAGGGUGAUCGGCCACACUGGGACUGAGACACGGCCCAGACUCCUACGGGAGGCAGCAUUAGGGAAUCUUCCGCAAUGGACGAAAGUCUGACGGAGCAACGCCCCGUGAGUGAUGAAGGUUUUCGGAUCGUAAAACUCUGUUGUUAGGGAAGAACAAGUAUGAGAGUAACUGCUCGUACCUUGACGGUACCUAACCAGAAAGCCACGGCUAACUACGUGCCAACAGCCGCGGUAAUACGUAGGUGGCAAGCGUUGUCCGGAAUUAUUGGGCGUAAGGCGCGCGCAGGCGGUUCCUUAUUUCUGAUGUGAAAGCCCACGGCUCAACCGUGGAGGGUCAUUGAAAACUGGGGAACUUGAGUGCAAAAGAGGAAAGCGGAUUUCCACGUGUAGCGGUGAUAUGCGUAGAGAUGUGGAGGAACACCAGUGGCGAAGGCGGCUUUCUGCUCUGUAACUGACGCUGAGGCGCGAAAGCGUGGGGAGCACACAGGAUUAGAUACCCUGGUACUCCACGCCGUAAUCGAUGAGUGCUAAGUGAUAUAGGCUUCCGCCUUUUAGUGCUGCAUCUAACGCAUUAAGCACUCCGCCUGGGGAGUACGGCCGCAUGGCUGAACCUAUUGGAAUUGACGGCGGCCCGCACUAUCGCGGAGCAUGUGGUUAAUUCGAGCCACGCGAAGAACCUUACGAGUCUUGGACUCUUUGACCACUCUUAAUUAGUAGCUUUCCCUCUCCGGGAGAACAAAGUUGACUGCGGAGCUGGGC
Molecule: ribosomal RNA, 1031 nt
Filed under: Priestia koreensis
Lineage: Bacteria; Bacillati; Bacillota; Bacilli; Caryophanales; Bacillaceae
Description: bacterial SSU rRNA
Rfam family: Bacterial small subunit ribosomal RNA
Source: RNAcentral